GUGGGGAAUAUUGGACAAUGGGCGCAAGCCUGAUCCAGCCAUGCCGCGUGAGUGAUGAAGGCCUUAGGGUUGUAAAGCUCUUUCAGUAGGGAAGAUAAUGACGGUACCUACAGAAGAAGCCCCGGCUAACUUCGUGCCAGCAGCCGCGGUAAUACGAAGGGGGCUAGCGUUGUUCGGAUUUACUGGGCGUAAAGCGCACGUAGGCGGUUUGUUAAGUCAGGGGUGAAAUCCCGGAGCUCAACUCCGGAACUGCCUUUAAUACUGGCAAGCUAGAGUCCGGAAGAGGUAAGUGGAACUCCUAGUGUAGAGGUGGAAUUCGUAGAUAUUAGGAAGAACACCAGUGGCGAAGGCGGCUUACUGGUCCGGAACUGACGCUGAGGUGCGAAAGCGUGUGGAGCAAACAGGAUUAGAAACCCGAGUAGUCC
This 425-nucleotide ribosomal RNA is filed under the name uncultured bacterium. Its description in RNAcentral is "partial 16S ribosomal RNA". It matches the Rfam family "Bacterial small subunit ribosomal RNA", at positions 354 to 796 of the family's 1533-position model. The record is from RNAcentral.